This 465-nucleotide ribosomal RNA is filed under the name uncultured bacterium. RNAcentral's name for it is "bacterial SSU rRNA". It matches the Rfam family "Bacterial small subunit ribosomal RNA", at positions 338 to 795 of the family's 1533-position model. The record is from RNAcentral.
CCUACGGGAGGCAGCGGUGGGGAAUAUUGCACAAUGGGGGAAACCCUGAUGCAGCGACGCCGCGUGAGCGAAGAAGGUCUUCGGAUCGUAAAGCUCUGUUGUUAGGGAAGAACAAGUACGGGAGGAAAUGACCGUAACUUGACGGUACCUAACGAGGAAGCCACGGCUAACUACGUUCCAGCAGCCGCGGUAAUACGUAGGUGGCAAGCGUUGUCCGGAAUUAUUGAGCGUAAGGCGCGCGCAGGCGGUCUGUUAAGUCUGAUGUGAAAUCUUCCGGCUCAACCGCAAGAGGUCAUUGGUAACCGGGAGACUUAAUUACAGAAGAGGAAAACAGAAUUACACGUGUAGCUGUGAAAUGGGUAGAGAUGUGGAGGAACACCAGCGGCGAAGACGGCUUUCUGGUCUGUAACUCACGCUGAGGCGCGAAAGAGUGCGGAGCAGAAAGAAUUAGAUACCUCAGUAGUC